ACCACGGUUUUACACUCGGCGGCUCACGUUACUGCUGUCUUGGAAAGGGAGGAGUGAACGGAGGGGUACUCAGUUGGUUGCAAUCUGCAACCACACCACUAGAUGCCGCCAAAUCCUACAUACUGUCCCUUUUUAAAUCAUGGAUGACCAACGCGUUUUGAAUUCUGAUGAAGACUUGUUAAGUCGAAAUGCGUUGAUCAUCCGUGAUUUAGUACCAAGGACUUCCUUCAAAAGUAAGCUGGACAGUCAUUACUUUUUAUUUGUGGAAAACGUAUCAGUUUUGAUUUUCUCCUCACAGUAUUUUAACUAACUUCAGUUGUUCCUGGAGGACUUGACACAUAGCUAUAUUAUAUAACAUAACUUUUUUUUUUUAAAUUUUGUGGAACCUGUGGCUCAUUUUCUUGCUUGCAGUCUCAUUAGUCAACCAGCACAUUGCAGCUGUUAAAGAAAUAUUAUUCUUUUCAUUUUAAUACUGAUUGUGGUAUCACAGUGAAUUGGUGAACAUAAAGAUAUGUUGCACUGUUUAUCGUAUAACUAUUUAUAGGUUGUCAUGUUAUUUUUUUCGUGUGUAGUGAGAAAGAAUAUUUUGUUUUCAGAAAAAUAUAUGGAUUCAGCAAGUGCCUUUGAAAUGAUUGUUGCUAUAUAUUUAGUGUACUGUACUUAUGCUGCUCAAUGAUACAAUAUGUAUUAUUAAUAUUCAUCAGAUUAUUUAUCUUAACACGGCAGCCUCUUCUUGUUCCUCUUGAUUAUAAAUAUUGCUGUUCUAAACUUCCACCAACACAAAGAUCUCUUCUACUGAAUAGUACUGUUAUUGGCUUGCUGGAAUCAAUUAUAUUUGCCAAUUUAUGUUUUUUGUUGUUGUUUUUUUUUUACUAAAAAUUGAGCUAUUUUCUGAACUAGAAAUGAAAUGUUGUAAUGUACUGUAAGAGAAUACCAACAAAUUUAUAGCUUUGCAAAUGGAAAUAUUAAAUAAGUCUCACUUCAUUCUUUGUGUGGUUUAUUACUGUUCUGUUCUUAAUAAUAAUAUUUUUAUUAUUACCAGUCAUUAGGUGUAUAAUUUUUUUUCUAAGUACCUUCUAUCUUAUUACUUUGAAUUUAAUUUUACCAGAACAGUCAAAUGUAAAGAUAUUGAUUGCAGCACCAGAAAACAUGACCGUGUCAUGACAUGUCGUCUGUUGCCAUAGUAACCAUUUGUUGAAAUACAUUUGACCUCGAGCAGGAGGCAGAAGACAUCAAAACGGAUACAUCUGGGUGUCUUCAACUGCACCCGAACAAGGUAUGGUUGAAGAUGAUACUUUUUUUUUGCUGAGGAGCCAUGAUGUGUCUUUGCUAUUUCUUUUGUAUAAAGAAGCUGUAAAGAAAUUAAUUUUUCAGUUUCACUUCAUUUCAGAGGCCCAUUAAAUGAUUUGUAAUAAGUGAUGCCAUUCUGUUUUUUCAAAUGUCUUUAUCUAUAAUUCUAGUAUAUUGGUAAUUACUUCCUGUUCCUUUUAAUCUGCUCGUCUAUUCUCCUGUGGAAGGUUCAUCCUCAUUAAACUAGUGUGCUGUUAUACAUUUCCUUUCUGUAACCAAAAGAAUAUUCAUCAAAUACGACUUAAGGGAUUACUCCCAAUAUGACAUUCUUGGGAUUCUUUUGCAAGAAAACCUUCAAAACAUUAUUUAUAAUAAAAUCUAGUUCUAAAAGUUCAUCAGCCGUUCUUAUAUAGACAUUCUUAAUAUGAUCUCCUAGCUCAGAUUAGGAUCUAUUUUUCACAUGCAUACAACAGUUUUGUGUCUCGAGUAGCAAUAGCUUGAUGUCAUUUCCAUCUAAUUUUCACCUCUCCAUCCCCUCUAGAUUCUGUCUGAGGUUGCCGGCCAGCAGAGGAUCAGAGAUGAUCUCCAAGCGGCCAUCGUAGAGAAUGAACUUGUUUGGAGUUUGGCCUAGGUCCGGCUGGCUUUGUUGCCUCCUGAGGCCUGCCAAAGAGCAACGCCACAAUCAUCCAGCACGGUCCCAGCUGCUCGCUGAGGUCCAGCAGCUCUCAUCAACAAUCGAAUCAGUUCAUCCUGGAGUCCAGGUGGACGUUCGUGUCAAAUAUGAAGAAGGUGUCCCUGAGAUAUCGUGUUCACGAGAAUGGUUCGGACGGACGGACAACCAAAAAACAUAACGCCACGGCUGUUGCCAGCACGGAGACAUAAAAAAUUAACAAGUAUAUAUAUAACCGUAUAAUAAAGGUUUUCAAAAAGUA
Molecule: long non-coding RNA, 2222 nt
Organism: Sebastes umbrosus (honeycomb rockfish)
Lineage: Eukaryota; Metazoa; Chordata; Actinopteri; Perciformes; Sebastidae
Exons: 2
Source: RefSeq, a predicted model, not a curated record